GUGGAUUAGAUACCCUGGUAGUCCACGCUGUAAACGAUGAGAGCUAGUUGUCGGCACGCAUGCGUGUCGGUGACGCAGCUAACGCAUUAAGCUCUCCGCCUGGGGAGUACGGCCGCAAGGUUAAAACUCAAAGAAAUUGACGGGGGCCCGCACAAGCGGUGGAGCAUGUGGUUUAAUUCGAAGCAACGCGCAGAACCUUACCCACGUUUGACAUGUCCAGUUUGGUCGGCAGAGAUGCCUUCCUUCAGUUCGGCUGGCUGGAACACAGGUGCUGCAUGGCUGUCGCCAACU
RNAcentral lists this ribosomal RNA (291 nucleotides) under uncultured bacterium. Its description in RNAcentral is "partial 16S ribosomal RNA". It matches the Rfam family "Bacterial small subunit ribosomal RNA", at positions 773 to 1060 of the family's 1533-position model. The record is from RNAcentral.